Molecule: long non-coding RNA, 408 nt
Filed under: Dromaius novaehollandiae (emu)
Lineage: Eukaryota; Metazoa; Chordata; Aves; Casuariiformes; Dromaiidae
Description: lncRNA (ENSDNVG00000016727.1)
Source: RNAcentral
GUUGCCCCUGAAUCAUGGAGUUUCCCCUUGAUCCUGAAGCAGCCCUUUGCUUUCUGGGGUGGAAUGGCACAGCACCUAAAGGCUAGAAAAAAAGAUGAAGAAAAGAUGGAAGGAAUGAGGAUAACCAGAUGGGGAGAAAGACAGCUGUGUUAAAAACCGCAGUGCUCCACUUCUCUGCCCGGGCGCGAUGCAGGAGACUCCCUCCGGAAGGCGAGUGGCUGUGGGCCCUGCUGACGGUUCUCCAACGUCAGGUCCCUUCUGGAGGAGACAAGUGACACAAGAGUUAGAUGUCUCUCCAAAAGUCACAAAUCAACAUUCUGGGAGAGUUGCUGGUUCAAACGUGCUUUUGGAGAUGUGGCUCAGGUCUUGGUGGAGAUACUCUUAUGAACCUAAUAUUAAUUCAACUUC